This 108-nucleotide microRNA precursor is filed under the name Paramuricea clavata. The record is from RNAcentral. Lineage: Eukaryota; Metazoa; Cnidaria; Anthozoa; Malacalcyonacea; Plexauridae.
CCACGUAAAUUUAUUACUGCAAAGCUUUCGAUCCGUAAGCCCGGAUCCUCAUCAAUGCUAAUAAUAUGAUCGAAAGCUUCGCAGUAAUAAAUUUACGUGGUGUUUCCA